This 875-nucleotide ribosomal RNA is filed under the name uncultured organism. Its description in RNAcentral is "bacterial SSU rRNA". It matches the Rfam family "Bacterial small subunit ribosomal RNA", at positions 124 to 997 of the family's 1533-position model. The record is from RNAcentral.
ACCUACCUGAAACAGGGGGAUAGCUUCCGGAAACGGGGAUUAAUACCCCAUACGAUUCAUUUGUGGCCUCACAAAUGGAUAAAAGCUACGGCGGUUUCAGAUGGUCAUGCGUACCAUUAGUUAGUUGGUGAGGUAAAGGCUCACCAAGGCGAUGAUGGUUAGGGGUCCUGAGAGGGUAGUCCCCCACACUGGUACUGAGACACGGACCAGACUCCUACGGGAGGCAGCAGUGAGGAAUAUUGGUCAAUGGGCGCUAGCCUGAACCAGCCAUGCCGCGUGCAGGAAGACGGCCCUACGGGUUGUAAACUGCUUUUCUGCAGGAAGAAUAUAUAGUCUUAGGGCUAUAUUGACGGUACUGCAGGAAUAAGCAUCGGCUAACUCCGUGCCAGCAGCCGCGGUAAUACGGAGGAUGCAAGCGUUAUCCGGAUUCAUUGGGUUUAAAGGGUGCGCAGGCUGUAAAGCAAGUCAGUGGUGAAAGCCCUGGGCUUAACUCAGGGAUUGCCAUUGAAACUGUUUUACUAGAGUGUAGUAGAGGACGGCGGAAUGAGUUGUGUAGCGGUGAAAUGCAUAGAUAUAACUCAGAACACCUAUUGCGUAGGCAGCUGUCUAUACUACAACUGACGCUGAGGCACGAAAGCGUGGGGAGCGAACAGGAUUAGAUACCCUGGUAGUCCACGCUGUAAACGAUGAUCACUCGUUGUUGGCUACUUAGUAGUCAGUGACCAAGGGAAACCGAUAAGUGAUCCACCCUGGGGAGUACGUCGGCAACGAUGAAACUCAAAGGAAUUGACGGGGGCCCGCACAAGCGGAGGAGCAUGUGGUUUAAUUCGAUGAUACGCGAGGAACCUUACCUGGGCUUAAAUGCUGGCUGCAUU